Molecule: long non-coding RNA, 10714 nt
Filed under: Olea europaea subsp. europaea
Lineage: Eukaryota; Viridiplantae; Streptophyta; Magnoliopsida; Lamiales; Oleaceae
Source: RNAcentral
AACAGCAGCAUUUAGAUUACUUUACUAGGAGAAAGUGCGCAAAAAGAAAUUAAAGUUCGCAACAAAAUUGGAACCAAAAAAGGCUCGCUACAAAGAAAAACACCAUAAUUUAGGUCAUUGCACCUUCCUGAAAAUUAAUAGAUAUAAGGAGAAGAAUUGGUCAUUAAUCCAUCAACAAAAUUGGCAAAAAAAGAACUAAUCACGCAACAUUAUUAUUUCUUUAAAUGAUUUUACAUCAAAUAAUCAUAUUUCAUUUGUUAGCUCACAAUUAAGAGACGAUUUCACUAUCAAAAUUCAAGAAAAGUUCUACAUGCAAUUGUGAUCAUAUAAAAAUGGAAAAGAAAUUAGAAGUCAAAAGUAUAAAAUAUAUUAUGAACCCUCUUGAGAAUCAAUGACAUAAGUCAUAAACAAAGAAGAAACAACAAUCACCUUGUUUAUAAUAAUAUGGAGUCGAAUAAAUACAUCGCGGACUGAUUAAAAAAGAAAAAAGAAUAGAUACAAUAUCUGUCAGUUUGUCUAACUUGUGGUCCACCAAGAGGCCGAUGGAUCAUUAUCCUCGAGUUUGGAAGGCUAUACCUUUUUCCUUCAGUAAUUAUCAGAGAGAAUUGUAUAGAAACUUCAGCAAGUAAAAUAACCACCAAUAGAAUGUUGAACUUCUUAAAGUAAAAUGCAUUAGCAUGCAUGUCUUUGAGCAUGCUGGAUACAAUAGUAAGAUGAUGAAACACCAAAUAUACACAUCAGAAGAACUAAAGAAACAACAAUCUUUGCCAAUUACUAUGAAAAUAUGUUGGUAUUAUAAAAUUAGAGAUGAACUGACUACUAAUAAAGCUUCAAUUUUAAUUUUUUUUUCCAGCAAAGAAAGAGGUUUCAAAUAUCUCAUAACAAAUCUUGAAGAAAGAAAAUAGUUGCUUGUCUAACAGAGGUACUUGGUUACUCUCUCUACCACUAAGGAAAGUUAGAAAUACAAUAUUAGUAGAAUCUACACCAAAUUGUAAUUAAAUAGCAGUAAUGUAUCAUAACCAGGCCACUAAUCCAACACAUACAGUAGAAAGUCUGGUCUACUAUGCCUCAUUUUGACAAUAAUGACCAUACCUACCACAAUAAUGGAAAGCAAAUAAGACAAAUAAAUGGUCAAAAGCUAGAAAGAUGGAGUGGAAAAGGAAAAAAGAAAUGUUACAAGCUGUAACUGAUCUCUCUUUUCCACAGCUUCAAAAUCUUAAAUGCAGAGAAGGGUCACCACCAUAAACUGCUUUAUAUAAAUUAUUUUUAACACAUAAUCCCCAAUAUUUAACACUUGAAUUGGUUUUCAUACUAAAAAUCCAAGAAAAUCAAAAGACUUAACCAGCAUUGUAUUUCCAGACUAUUGAAAUGUGGCACCAGUUUCUGCAUAUUGGAAAGCGUCACUGAAAUCAUUGACAAAAAAUAGCAAUUUCUUGAAUAACUGAGAAAUUAAACCUUGAAUCCUUAAUCAACUGAUUGAUAUCAUAUAACUACAACAAUUUUAAAGAUUCAAUCUAUAAUUUACAAUGACUUCAACAUGAAUCUUCCAAUAUACAGUUGUCCUUGCAUUAAUAUUCUUGAAUAACUUAAAUACAUCUUAAUAACCUUUAAUUCUUUCUAAACUUCGAAAAUAAACCAAUUUUUCAUGAACCCUAAAAUUAAAUUGAAGCAAAUCUGCUGCUUUACCUCUAAAAGGAAGAAAUUGAACACCCUACGUCAUUAAUGUUGCCAUCCUUUUCUUUCUCCUCAUUUUUUUCUCUCUUCUUUCUUUUCAUCUCCUCAUUUCUUCUCUUCUCUUGAUUCUUCCCUGCUUGUUUCUUUUCAUUCUCCAAAUGAAAAUAAUGGGUCCAAUGAGAGUUAAGUAUAACUGUCACAAAUUUGCAAAAGAAGUCCCUUUACCUUAUGGGCUGGGUGAAUUUUAAUUGGGUCGUGGGCUACUAUUCACAGCAUUUAACGACCGUUGCAAAAAGUGAUUUUUUUUUUGAAUGCUUUCGCAAUAGUUAAUGAAUAUUGCAAAAAAUGAAACUUUUCCAAACAUUCAAUAAACGUUAUAAAAAGUGACGUUGCAAAAAGUUCACUUUGCAUUAGUUAAUAAACAUUGCAAAAGGCCAUAUAUUACGAGUUUCAACAAUGUGCACUGAACGUUGGUGUAAAGCCAGAUUUUAACAACAUUCAAUAAACAUUGAAAAAAAAUGAAAAUUUUCGCAGCAUUCAAUGAAUGUUACAAAAAAGUUAACUUUUUGUUAAAGCCAACAAACGUUUCAAAAGGCUAUAUAUUAAGAGUUUCAGCAACAUGCACCAAAUGUUUAUGUAGAGUUCAAAUUUUAAAAGCGUUCAAUAAAUGUUGCAAAAAAUAAAACUUUUCACAACAUUCAAUAAAUGUUGCAAAAAAGUGUUUAUGUAAAGUUCAAAUUUUAAAAGCGUUCAAUAAACAUUGCAAAAAAUAAAACUUUUCACAACAUUCAAUAAAUGUUGCAAAAAAGUUCACUUUUUGCAACAAUUAGUAAACGUUGCAAAAUGCUAUAUAUUACGACUUUUAGCUACAUUCACUGAACGUUGUUGUAAAGUCAGAUUUUAACAACAUUCAAUAAACGCUACAAAAAAUGAAACUUUUCAUAACAUUCAAUAAACGUUGCAAAAUAUGACAUUAGUAACAUACAUUUAAAAAAUGUUGCCAAAGCUCAAUUAUGUUAACCAAUGGCAACAUUCACUUAUUAAAAUUAUACAAUAGACCCCCUUUAACAACACUCAAUUAACAAAUGUUGCCUCUUUAGUGUUGCCAAAAAUCAGUUUUUUUGUUGUGAUUCUCAUAGUCUAUCCACUAGAACAUUACUUCAUUCGUGUAUCGAUUGGAAAUUGGAAUAUUUUCUAGCUUACUACAUAAUGAGCUUGUAUUUUUUUAUUAUUUAUUCCUAAAGUUACUUAUUUGACAUGUGGACUUUGUUUCAGUACAUUGACACAUCAACGAUGGUGCAGAUAUUGUUGCAUUAGCUAGAGACUAUAUCAAGUUUCUGUUUGGAGGACAGAAGAGCUAACAUCUAAGGCAUGCCAUCUAUUAGUGAAAGAUGUUCUUCAAGAUGCUGACAUAGAAGAAAGAUGAAGAUGAUCGAUAUUGGCUUGAACGCAAAAUAUUUAGUACCUCCACAUGGUAUGAUAGCCCUGUCAAGUCUAUAAACGGUGAUACCGGAGAGCACGUACCUUAUUCAUCCUUGACAAAGGGUAUAUAAAGUAUAAGGUUUAAGACUCUUAAUGAAAACCUUGCACAAAGCUUGCUUCUCAAAAGAUUUGGUUUCGUAGUGUUUUCAUGUCUUCAUUUAUGCCUUUACCUUGUGAAAUACAUUUAUUAUAAAAGUUCAUUAAGGAAUGGCAAGAAGGAAUUUGCAAUAGAUUUAAUCUGGAUGAUUGUACAGGCCUGAGCAUAAGGAUAUCCCUUUUUCUUCUUCUUCUUUUGAUCUCAUGUUUAGCAAUUGAAUGCCACCAUCAGGGGUUCGUGGUCUACUAUGUACGUGUGAGGUGUGGUGGAAGGAAGAGGCCAAAUCCCAAUAGUACUUUGUAUAGUUAGAAGAAUUAUUAAGUUAUCGAGUACCUGAGUUUACGGGAUCCAUGGACAAAAACUGUAACCUUUCGUCAUGUAAAGUUAUGAAAAUAAUUGGAACCUAUUUAUCCUAGUUUUUAUUUUUGUUUUUGUUUUGGUUCGUGAAAGGAGCUACUUUGUUUGCCAACUCCAAUUGGAUUUUCAAGGUUUGUGCUUUUUGAAGCUAAAUUAAUUAGGGUGUUGAGUUUAUUGCACGAGUUUUGAAGGGAAUUGCGAUUUGGAAUUUACAUUUAGAGUCCGAUGUUUAAAUUUUGGUUCGGCUUAAUUAGAAUAUUAAUGAGGUGAAGAUGAAUCAAAGAGACGCUGUAAAAACCAGCAACGCUCUGGAUCCCAAUUAAUUACUUUAACUCUCCCGCUUUAUAUGUUGAUGCAUUUUUUUCUACUUGUCUAAAUGGUGUCUUUAGUCUCGAUGAUAGCUGGUUUUGCCUCCGCAAGUUUGGAGUCAACUGAAGAUACAAUUAUCCUGAAAAAGGACUAAGAUAUUUUUGUAUGUUUUUUAGUAUUUUUGCAUUUUUUAGGAAGGGAGGUUAACAUUACGAUAUAGAGAACUAUUAUACACGUUCAAGGGCAUUUAAUAUUAAUACUUCCUGCUAAAGCUUGCUUUCAGAAGGUUAUAUUGUUUCCUUUUGCGUUUCUCAAUUUUUUAAAUUUGAAUUUAUUCUGCAAUUAAGGGUAAAAUGUAUAUUGCUAAUUUGUUCCUCAUAAUCUUUCAUUUGUCAAUAUACCCUAUUUACAAUGUUGUCUGCCUCGAAACAUUUAGCAACAUAUGCUUAACACAUAAUAUUUUCUUAUACAUACAUUAUUACAUAACUCAACUAUAUCGUGUAACAGGCCUUGCACGUGUCUUACUUGGUUGAGCCAAUUGUAUAUGGGUAAGGGUUAGUUAAUGAUGAGUUCAGAUAGUGGAUUUGGCUUUAGGAAAAAAUUCAUAUGAGUUUAACUUUGACCGAUUUCAAAACUAAUAAAAAAUGUUAAAAAUUUCAAAAAUCAGAUAUUAUUAAAUUUUGUUUAUGAAAUAACUGAAUAAAAAAAUAUUUUAUUAAUUAAACAUAUUAAGGUCACAAAUCUAUAUAAUUUCAUCACAAAUUAUCAAAUUAAUUGGUUACAAAUUAUUUCUCGAGCACAAAUUAAAAAUUCUAUAGGACAUUAUUCAUCGGUCACAAAAUCAAAACUUUUAUUGGUCACAAUUCAUUUAUCAAUUACACAUUAUCAAAUUAAUUGUCAAAUUAAUUUUGUGGUCACAACUUAAUAAAUUGUGAGUCACAAUUACAUUUUUUAGGUCACAAAUUAACCAAUUUAUUGAUCACAAUCAACCAAAUAAUUGGUCACAAACAGCUCCUAUCCCAUCCCAUCUACCCAUGGCCACCGUCGUCUCACCAGACCGUGCAAAAUCACCACCACAACAACCACUACAUCACAUCAAUGCAAACCUACCACCACCAUAGUAACCACACACCAAACUCCUACACUAUCAUCGUUGCCAGAUCGCAACAUAACCAAACUCCUACAAAUCAACCACAAAACCACCACAAACCCAUCAUGACAACCAGAGUGUACACCACUGUGCCCAACACUCUAAGUUCGUUGCCGCUCGGGACGAGAUCUGAAUGUCGUGCACGACGAGAUCUGAAUGCCGUACACGACGGGAUCUGAUCGUCAUUGUAUGCAACGAACUCAAGCUCCGUUUAGCAACAACGCCUAAGGCAAUACAUUCGCCACUCACAACGGCUGAUCAGUGGCACUGGAUUCGCCUCCUCAUUCGUACCUACUGGUGAAAGGAGUGAAAGAAAAAAAAUGAAAUAGGUCUCCCUACCAAGAGUUCCUUGGGGAUAUGCAAGAACUGGCUAACACUGCAUACGCUAUAUCCGGAUGUGUGUGACAGAUAAAUAGGUUCCUACAAGUACUGGUACAUUUCCAUGUCUACUGCAACAUCUUCCUCUACCUUUCCAAGUCUAACAUUCGAAUCUAAUGAAGUACUUGCUGGUUUGCAAACUAUCUUCUCCUUAUCAUCAAUCCCGAUCACUAUUGUGUCAUCAACAUAUUCUAAGAAAACUGUGACUCCCUUGAAGGUGAGUGUUUAAUGUACAGCAUAUGAUCCCUUUAGCUUUGUCUAUAUAUAUCCCAUGGCUAUCAUAACUCUUGCAAAUCUUCCAAACCAUGCCUAUGGUGAUUUCUCAAGUCCAUAGAGGCUUUCUUCAACCUACACACAAUAUAACCAGCCAAAUUAUUCCCAUAACCUAAUACGACCUCUAUAUAAAUUUCUUCCUUUAGUUCUCCAGGCAAACAAUGCAAUCUUAAAAUCAAAAUGCUGCUAUUCCAACCAUAAUUAGUUGUUAAUGACAACAAGAUUCUAACAGUAUUUAUCUUUGCAAUUGGAGCAUAAGUCUCUAGGUAAUCGAUUCCAUAUGAUUGAGUAUAACCUUUAGCCACCAACUUUCCCUCGUAUCUUUCUAUCGAUCCAUCUGCCCUAUACUUCACUAUAUAAACCCAUUUUACAUCCCACUAAUCUCUUUCUUGUUAGCAACUUCACCAAUUCCCAAGUUUUUUUAAGGACCUCUAUCCUUACAUUCAUAGCUUGUUUCUAUUUCUCAUUGGACAAAGCCUUGGAUAAGGUGGCAGGAAUGACAAUGGUGUUUAAGCUAACAAGGAAGGCUCUAUGAGAUGGGGAAAAAUGUUUAAAAGACAAGAAAUGUGCAAGAGGAUAUAAAUGUCGGUUUGUGAGCAAUGGGAAGGCCCUGUCAUUAUUGCUCACAUUAGAUUCAGUUUUAGCUUGCAAUGAAGGGUUAGAAAUUGUUGCCGCAUUCUCAAAAUCCGGGUUCGUGUCUUGUACUUGCACAGAUUCAAGGACAACCAUCUUCCUUGAAAACACCUUGCCCUUGCCAAAUAUUUACAUUUUCAAAAGUAGAGUCCAUCUUUUUUCUUGAGGAUUUUGAGCACGGGCACGAGUUCAGACAAGGAGACACGGAAUUCAACAUAGUGGAAUGAGGAACUGAUCUGGACCUGGAAAGUGACAGUAAGUUAGGCAAAAAACUAUCCUUAUUUACCAUUAUUGAAUUCUCACCCUAAAGAUAAGGAGCUGUGAAAUACAACUCUAAUUCAUUGAAAGGAACACCACCGAGACAUAGAAUUUCUUUGAUGGAGGGUGGUAACACUUGCACCCUUUCUAAAUUGACGAAUAACCACAAAGACACAUCUUAACACCCUAGGAUCCAAGUUUCCCCUAUUUUGACUAUGGUCAUGGACAAAUGAUAUACACCCAAACAUCCUAGGGACAAGAUUAUUUGUAGUGUGUAGGUUAGGAUAGAAUGUCGAUAGUAUUUCCAUUUGACUCUUGAAUCCCAAGAUUCUGGAAGGUAAACGAUUUAUUAGAUGUGUGGCUGUAAGAACUGCUUCUACCCAAAAGGAUUUAGGUACAUCUCUAUGGAACAUGAAGGCUCAGGUUGAUUUAAGGUGUCAAUUUUACUUUUUUGCUACUCUAUUUUGCUGUAGAGUACUAACAUAAGAUGACUCGUGUACUAUCCCUUAAUUCUUCUUAAAGUACGGAGAUAGGACUUGAUUGAACCAACCCAAACCUUUUGAUAUUGACCUUAAAUUGAUUCUUAAUCAUGGAACAAAAAUUUGGAUGAACAGUACUAACAUCAAAUUUAUGUAUGAGCCAAAAAAUCCAAGUAACAUGAGAAUUAUGUUUAAUAACCCUAAAUGACACAUGUACAAGUCAACAAUGGUGAAGCCACUCUCUAUAUUGGAUGAAAAAACUCAAACAAAAGAAUGAGGUAAUUUGCCCUUGAUGAUACUUGAUUGCCUCGGUGAUUCGAGUUAGGAAAAGCCCAUCCCAUUCUCUAGCAUGUCCAAUCAUCUUCCCCGAAUCCUUGUCCUGAAAUACACUAACUAUAAUGAAAAACCACAUUGCAAUGUAAAUCAUGAGUGAGUUUUUGUCUAGAGACAAUAUUUGUGGACAGUCUAGGGACAUGGAGAACGUUUUACGGUCAAUGAUGGGCUUAUUUUGAAAUCUCCUGCACCUGCUACCUUGGUCAAAGAACCAUAAGUUGUGACUAUUUUCCUGUUGCUUGGACAUGGGAAAUAUGUGAAAAAAAUAUUUUGUGAGUUGGUCAUAUGUUCAGUAGCUCCUAAGUCCAUGACGCAAUAGAGAAAGGAAACUCACCUGAAUACGCCAAUGAACAAAUACCUAAAGGUUUGUCAAGGUUGCCAAUAAGAGAUCUCACCUUCUUGACCUCUUUUUGGAGUCUAGUGUGGCAGAAGAAACAACUUUUUACCUUUUCAAAACAAAUAGUGCGAAACAAGGUGGAGGCAACUCAUUUGUUGGUGAAGGAUUUACGUAUCAAAAACUAAGAAGAGACUUGCUACUUAAGUUGGAAAGCAUAAAAGUUCACAUAAUCAAGCUCGCAUUAAAUGUGAAGCCUUGAUAAAUCAAGAGCAACACGGUCAAUCAAUUUUCUUCAAGCAGUCCAAACAAAUGCGACAUGAUUAUCGUGUCUAUCUUAUUGCAUCAAUUGACUGUGUUCAAGUUUUGUUGCAACAAGGGCUUUCAUUUCAGGGUCAUGAUGAAUUUAAGAAUUCUCUCAAUUAAGGUAACUUCCUAAUUCAAUUACAAUUCCUAGCUGAUCAUAAUCAUGAGGUUAAGGCUGUGACGUUGGAAAAUGCUCCUCAAAAUUGCAAUCUAACAUCCCCUAAAGUAUAAAAGAAUAGAGUAAGUGCUUGUGCUGCUGAAACGAUAAAUGUGAUUAUAGAUGUUGGAGAUUCAUUAUUUUCUAUUUUAGUUGAUGAAUCUCAUGACGUGUCAACAAAGGAGCAAAUGUCAAUUGUGUUACGACAUGUGAAAAAUGAAUUUGUAAAUGAAUGUUUCAUAGGUAUUGAACAUCUGUCCAGUACCAUUGUUGUCUCACUCAAGGCCGCUAUUGAUAACAAGUUUUCUAGAUAUAACUUGAGCAUUUCUAAUCUAAGGGGACAAAGUUACGACGGGCAAGCAAUAUGCAAGGUCAAUUCAGUGGUCUCAAAGCACUCAUUUUAAAUUAGAACCGUUGUGCCUUUUAAGCUCAUUAUUUUGCUCAUCAACCGCAAUUAGUAGCUAUGGCAAAGAAGAAUAUACCGAUUAUUAAAUUCUUUCAUGUGGUUGCUAAUGUGAUAAAUAAUGUUAUAACAUCUAAACGUUGUAAUCUUCUACAAGAGAAACAAUCAGACUUCAUUAUUGAGGCAUUGGAGAAUGAUGAUAUCUUAAGUGGACGGGGCCUUAAUCAAAAAACCACUCUUCAACGUUUAGGUGAUACGCAUUAGUGAUUUCAUUAUAAUUCUUUGGUUAGCUUGAUUAGCAUUUUUAAGGCUAUUAUUGAUGUACUUGAAAUAACUGUUGAAGAUGAAUCUAGUACUUGUGAUAAAAAAAAGUUAUGCAUUCAAUUUAUUGGAGUCAAUACAAUCGUUUGAUUUUACAUUUAAUCUACAUUUAAUGAGAAGUGUCUUGAGUAUUUCAAAUGAUUUGUCACAGGAAUUGCAAAGGAAAGAUCAAGACAUUAUCAAUGCAAUGGACAUGGUGAAUGUUUGCAAAAAACGACUCCCAACUUCUGAGAGAUGAUGGGAUUCUUUUUUGCAACAAGUUCCUUUUGUCAGAAUCAUUAUAUUGAUGUGCCAAACAUGGAUGUUAUGUUUAUGGUAUUCGCUCUCAUCGUAAUCCUCCACAAAUAACCAACUUGCAUCACUUUUUGGUAGAUUUAUUCUACGCUAUCAUCGAUAUGCAAUUUCAAGAAUUGAAUGAUCGUUUCUUAGAGGUAAUUGCUGAGUUGGUCCUUUUGUUUAGCUUGUCUGUGUCCACAAAAUUCAUUCUUUGCUUUUGACAAAAGAAAGUUUUAUCCACAAAAUUUUUCAAUGGUAGUUCUCUUCAUAGUGGAAUAUCAACUUGAUAAUUAUAAUUUUGACAUUCUCUUUAAUAAAGAGUUCGAAGAAUUGAAUAGCUUUAGCGCUCUAGCACAUAAAUUAGUUUUGAAAAAUAAGAAUAGAGCAUACCUACUGGUUUGCAAGCUUUUGACUUUGGCACUAAUUCUUUCGGGUGCCAUGACUACUGUGGAGAGUAUUUUCUGCCAUGAAUAUUGUGAAUGAUAGAUUAUGAAAUCGGAUUAGAGAUGAGUGGAUGAAUGAUAGCCACAUCGUUUAUGUGGAAAAAGAUAUAUUCUUGAAGAUUAGUAAUAAAGUAAUUUCACAAAGAUAUCAAAGUAUGAAAACUCGUAAAUAACAAUUGUAUUGUAUUGUAUUCUACCCCUGGAAACCUCUUAUGUCACUCUUCCCAAUCCAGAUGAGCGCGGUUUAAUCUUGACAGCUCUUGGUAGGAAGAAGCCAAUAGAUGCCAAUGUGGACUUGAUGGCAAUUGGAAGUGACAGUACGUGUGAAAAUUUCAGUGAAGCUGACCUAUCUACUCUGGUUUGUCUGUACUUGAUUGUUUUCUUCAUAGGGUAACAAUAUUUUAGAAACUGGUUUUGGUUACUAUAAAUAUUUAAUUAACAUAAAUAAUUUCUAGUAAAUUGGAAGGUUCAUAAUUGUUUGAUGUGAAUAAUUAGUGUUUGUUAAAUCAUAAACGACAAAGAUGGCGAAAAAAAUGCUUUAUUGCCAUUCAAGAUAUUUUGUGAUGCAUAAAUAAGUUAUCUUAAAGAAAUUUGAUAUGACUUGAACAAAUGUUGUUCGAUUGAGAAAAUGGGAAUUGUAUUCUAUUUCUUCUUUCACUCUUAAUGUAAAUGUUCAUCCCUUGUAACGAUCAGUCUCAAGUUUGUUAUUUUUAUUUAUCCUAGAUGAAUAAAACUGCUAUAGAAGCUAUUGCAAACAAAAUAAAUUUGGAGAACAAAUCUUUAUAUGCAACACCAUUGACUAUCAAACAAAUACACUUCGAUUGAGUAUCGGAGAAAAUAUCUCUAUCUGUUUUAGAUGCAGUAUGAAUUUUUAUCAAGCUUGAUUUUGUUAUUGUAAUAUACCUCAAGAAAAGUAAAUAACUGUGUCAAUUUUUAUGCUUGGCUGCAAAAGAUAAGAAAACAUGAACAGUCGUCAGAAAGCUUCAUAGCGACUUUAGAAUGGACCUGAUCACGUGAAAAAAGCACUCCUAUGACUUAUAGUUGUUUGUAC